Molecule: ribosomal RNA, 620 nt
Filed under: uncultured bacterium
Lineage: Bacteria
Description: bacterial SSU rRNA
Rfam family: Bacterial small subunit ribosomal RNA (bases 1-535)
Source: RNAcentral
CCUACGGGAGGCAGCAGUAGGGAAUAUUGGGCAAUGGAGGCAACUCUGACCCAGCCAUGCCGCGUGCAGGAAGAAGGCGUUAUGCGUUGUAAACUGCUUUUAUAUAGGAAGAAAUAGACCUUGCGAGGUAAGUUGACGGUACUAUAUGAAUAAGCACCGGCUAACUCCGUGCCAGCAGCCGCGGUAAUACGGAGGGCGCAAGCGUUGUCCGGAUUUAUUGGGUUUAAAGGGUGCGUAGGCGGUUUAUUAAGUCAGUGGUGAAAGACGGUCGCUCAACGAUUGCAGUGCCAUUGAUACUGGUAGACUUGAGUGGGAUUGAGGUAGCUGGAAUGGAUAGUGUAGCGGUGAAAUGCAUAGAUAUUAUCCAGAACACCAAUUGCGUAGGCAAGUUACUAAGUCUCAACUGACGCUGAGGCACGAAAGUGUGGGUAUCAAACAGGAUUAGAUACCCUGGUAGUCCACACUGUAAACGAUGAUAACUAACUGUUGGCUUCCGAGUCAGUGGUACAGAGAAAUACGUUAAGUUAAUUCCACCUGGGAGGUAAGUCCGGCGAACGGUUGAAACGUUACAAAUAAGAGUUAGUUAGCGNGAGAGAGCGACGACGACACAGGAGGAGGAG